RNAcentral lists this ribosomal RNA (416 nucleotides) under uncultured bacterium. Its description in RNAcentral is "bacterial SSU rRNA". It matches the Rfam family "Bacterial small subunit ribosomal RNA", at positions 358 to 771 of the family's 1533-position model. The record is from RNAcentral.
GGAAUAUUGGACAAUGGGCGGAAGCCUGAUCCAGCCAUGCCGCGUGCAGGAAGACAGCCCUACGGGUUGUAAACUGCUUUUAUACGGGAAGACUAAGGGGUACGUGUACCCCGAUGACGGUACCGUAAGAAUAAGGACCGGCUAACCCCGUUCCAGCAGCCGCGGUAAUACGGAGGGUCCAAGCGUUAUCCGGAAUCAUUGGUUUUAAAGGGUCCGCAGGCGGGCAAGUAAGUCAGGGGUGAAAUGGUGCGGCUCAACCGUAGCACUGCCUUUGAUACUGGUUGUCUUGAGUUAUGGUGAAGUGGCCGGAAUAUGUAGUGUAGCGGUGAAAUGCAUAGAUAUUACAUAGAACGCCGAUUGCGAAGGCAGGUCACUAACCAUGGACUGACGCUGAUGGACGAAAGCGUGGGGAGCGA